AGUGAACGCUGGCGGUAGGCCUAACACAUGCAAGUCGAACGGCAGCACAGGAGAGCUUGCUCUCUGGGUGGCGAGUGGCGGACGGGUGAGGAAUACAUCGGAAUCUACUCUGUCGUGGGGGAUAACGUAGGGAAACUUACGCUAAUACCGCAUACGACCUACGGGUGAAAGCAGGGGAUCUUCGGACCUUGCGCGAUUGAAUGAGCCGAUGUCGGAUUAGCUAGUUGGCGGGGUAAAGGCCCACCAAGGCGACGAUCCGUAGCUGGUCUGAGAGGAUGAUCAGCCACACUGGAACGGAGACACGGUCCAGACUCCUACGGGAGGCAGCAGUGGGGAAUAUUGGACAAUGGGCGCAAGCCUGAUCCAGCCAUACCGCGUGGGUGAAGAAGGCCUUCGGGUUGUAAAGCCCUUUUGUUGGGAAAGAAAUCAAGCUGGCUAAUACCCGGUUGGGAUGACGGUACCCAAAGAAUAAGCACCGGCUAACUUCGUGCCAGCAGCCGCCGUAA
RNAcentral lists this ribosomal RNA (506 nucleotides) under uncultured bacterium. Its description in RNAcentral is "partial 16S ribosomal RNA". It matches the Rfam family "Bacterial small subunit ribosomal RNA", at positions 29 to 523 of the family's 1533-position model. The record is from RNAcentral.